RNAcentral lists this ribosomal RNA (252 nucleotides) under uncultured bacterium. RNAcentral's name for it is "partial 16S ribosomal RNA". It matches the Rfam family "Bacterial small subunit ribosomal RNA", at positions 524 to 776 of the family's 1533-position model. The record is from RNAcentral.
UACGUAGGGUGCAAGCGUUGUCCGGAAUUAUUGGGCGUAAAGAGCUCGUAGGCGGUUUGUCGCGUCUGCUGUGAAAACUCGGGGCGUUAACUCCGGCCUGCAGUGGGUACGGGCAGACUAGAGUGCGGUAGGGGAGACUGGAAUUCCUGGUGUAGCGGUGAAAUGCGCAGAUAUCAGGAGGAACACCGGUGGCGAAGGCGGGUCUCUGGGCCGAUACUGACGCUGAGGAGCGAAAGCGUGGGAGCAAACAGG